This 429-nucleotide ribosomal RNA is filed under the name bacterium. RNAcentral's name for it is "partial 16S ribosomal RNA". It matches the Rfam family "Bacterial small subunit ribosomal RNA", at positions 355 to 776 of the family's 1533-position model. The record is from RNAcentral.
UAGGGAAUCUUCGGCAAUGGGGGCAACCCUGACCGAGCAACGCCGCGUGAGUGAAGAAGGUUUUCGGAUCGUAAAGCUCUGUUGUAAGAGAAGAACGUGUGUGAGAGUGGAAAGUUCACACAGUGACGGUAACUUACCAGAAAGGGACGGCUAACUACGUGCCAGCAGCCGCGGUAAUACGUAGGUCCCGAGCGUUGUCCGGAUUUAUUGGGCGUAAAGCGAGCGCAGGCGGUUUAAUAAGUCUGAAGUUAAAGGCAGUGGCUUAACCAUUGUUCGCUUUGGAAACUGUUAAACUUGAGUGCAGAAGGGGAGAGUGGAAUUCCAUGUGUAGCGGUGAAAUGCGUAGAUAUAUGGAGGAACAGCGGUGGCGAAAGCGGCUCUCUGGUCUGUAACUGACGCUGAGGCUCGAAAGCGUGGGGAGCAAACAGG